This 463-nucleotide ribosomal RNA is filed under the name uncultured bacterium. RNAcentral's name for it is "bacterial SSU rRNA". It matches the Rfam family "Bacterial small subunit ribosomal RNA", at positions 8 to 507 of the family's 1533-position model. The record is from RNAcentral.
AGAGUUUGAUCAUGGCUCAGGAUGAACGCUGGCGGUAUGCCUAAUACAUGCAAGUCGUGCGGAAAGGCCUCUUCGGAGGUACUCGAGCGGCGGACGGCAGAGUAACGCGUAGGAACAUACCCCAAACUGAGGGAUAACUGCUCGAAAGAGUAGCUAAUACCGCAUGUGGUCUUCGGACUAAAGCUUCGGCGGUUUGGGAAUGGCCUGCGUUCGAUUAGCUAGUUGGUGAGGUAAUUGCUCACCAAGGCGACGAUCGAUAGCUGGUCUGAGAGGAUGAUCAGCCUGACUGGAACUGAGACACGAUCCAGACUCCUACGGGAGGCAGCAGUAGGGAAUUUUCCACAAUGGGCGAAAGCCUGAUGGAGCAAUACCGCGUGCAGGAUGAAGGCCUUCGGGUCGUAAACUGCUUUUAUGUGAGAAGAAUUUGACGGUAACACAUGAAUAAGGGUCGGCUAACUACGUG